AUGGUGGGGGUUGGAAAGCUCCGGCGGUGGUGGAUGGACUCGCGGCCUAUCAGCUUGUUGGUGGGGUAGUGGCCUACCAAGGCGGCGACGGGUAGCCGGCCUGAGAGGGUGACCGGCCACAUUGGGACUGAGAUACGGCCCAGACUCCUACGGGAGGCAGCAGUGGGGAAUAUUGCACAAUGGGCGCAAGCCUGAUGCAGCAACGCCGCGUGCGGGAUGACGGCCUUCGGGUUGUAAACCGCUUUCAGCAGGGACGAAGCUUUUUGUGACGGUACCUGCAGAAGAAGCACCGGCUAACUACGUGCCAGCAGCCGCGGUGAUACGUAGGGUGCGAGCGUUGUCCGGAUUUAUUGGGCGUAAAGGGCUCGUAGGCGGUUGAUCGCGUCGGGAGUGGAAACUUGAUGCUUAACGUUGAGCGUGCUUUCGAUACGGGUUGACUUGAGGAAGGUAGGGGAGAAUGGAAUUCCUGGUGGAGCGGUGGAAUGCGCAGAUAUCAGGAGGAGCGCCAGUGGCGAAGGCGGUUCUCUGGACCUUUCCUGACGCUGAGGAGCGAAAGCGUGGGGAGCGAACAGGCUUAGAUACCCUGGUAGUCCACGCUGUAAACGGUGGGUACUAGGUGUGGGGUCCAUUCCACGGAUUCUGUGCCGUAGCUAACGCAUUAAGUACCCCGCCUGGGGAGUACGGCCGCAAGGCUAAAACUCAAAGGAAUUGACGGGGCCCCGCACAAGCGGCGGAGCAUGCGGAUUAAUUCGAUGCAACGCGAAGAACCUUACCUGGGUUUGACAUGGAUCGGGAGCUUCCAGAGAUGGUUGUGCCUCUUUUGGGGUCGGUUCACAGGUGGUGCAUGGCUGUCGUCAGCUCGUGUCGUGAGAUGUUGGGUUAAGUCCCGCAACGAGCGCAACCCUCGUCCACUGUUGCCAGCAAUUCGGUUGGGGACUCAGUGGAGACCGCCGGGGUCAACACGGAGGAAGGUGGGGAUGACGUCAAGUCAUCAUGCCCCUUAUGUCCAGGGCUUCACGCAUGCUACAAUGGCCGGUACAGUGAGUUGCGACAUCGUAAGGUGGAGCGAAUCUCAAAAAGCCGGACUCAGUUCGGAUUGGGGUCUGCAACUCGACCUCAUGAAGUCGGAGUCGCUAGUAAUCGCAGAUCAGCAACGCUGCGGUGAAUACGUUCCCGGGGCUUGUACACACCGCCCGUCA
RNAcentral lists this ribosomal RNA (1199 nucleotides) under uncultured organism. Its description in RNAcentral is "SSU rRNA". It matches the Rfam family "Bacterial small subunit ribosomal RNA", at positions 189 to 1399 of the family's 1533-position model. The record is from RNAcentral.